Hyla sarda is the source of this 709-nucleotide long non-coding RNA. RefSeq lists it as uncharacterized. The transcript is spliced from 5 exons. The record is from RefSeq and is a predicted model, not a curated record. NCBI's taxonomy places the organism in Eukaryota, Metazoa, Chordata, Amphibia, Anura, Hylidae.
UGACCACUUUAAAUCAAUGGCUGCCGGGACGUCUGGCUAGUGACAUCCUUCGCUCCAGACCGCAACGUCAGGGACGUCACUCGUCAGACGUCCCGGCGGCCAGCGCUGCUCAUUGAGCCUACCGGAGUAGCAUUGAUCUAUCCAAUCAGAGAGCAGCACUACUGAAAUAGAACUCCCAGGAGUGAGGGGCCGGUGCUGGACACUGUGUAGGGACGCGGGAAUGCAAAGUCAUACACAUGACUGUGACUGAUGCACUAUCUCCAGGACAUGGAGUAGCAUUUCCGGACCUACAGCAAGACGUUGGAUGAAGGCAUAGCCCCAGAAAUAACACUGGUCCUGUUCAUCAGUGAGGGGCCGUUGCUGGACACUGUGUAGGGACACGGGAAUGCAAAGUCAUGCACAUGACUGUGACUGAUGCACUAUUUCCAGGACAUGGAGUAGCAUUUCGGGACCUACAGCAAGACGUUGGAUGAAGGCACAGGCCUAGGAAUCAUGCACAUACACAGAAACAUUUGCCCAAAUUCUAGAGGUAACCUCCUUUAGUAUGCCCAGAGGAAGGGCCAUACAGUAGCCAUGGAUUCCCUACAGGUUUCCUCCCCUCUGGAGGUUUUUCCUGUCCUGAGUAUUAGUUACUGUACGCUCUUUGUGAGUGAUGGGAGGUUACAAAAAAUCCCCUACACAAACAUUUUAAUAAAUUAUAAAUAAAGUU